AAAGAUUAAGCCAUGCAUGUCUGAGUAUAAGCAAUUAUACAGCGAAACUGCGAAUGGCUCAUUAUAUAAGUUAUCGUUUAUUUGAUAGUACCUUACUACUUGGAUAACCGUGGUAAUUCUAGAGCUAAUACAUGCUGAAAAUCCCGACUUCGGAAGGGAUGUAUUUAUUAGAUUAAAAACCAAUGCCCUUCUGGGCUCUCUGGUGAUUCAUGAUAACUUCUCGAAUCGCACGGCCUCGCGCCGGCGAUGGUUCAUUCAAAUUUCUUCCCUAUCAACUUUCGAUGUUUGGGUAGUGGCCAAACAUGGUUGCAACGGGUAACGGAGGGUUAGGGCUCGACCCCGGAGAAGGAGCCUGAGAAACGGCUACUACAUCCAAGGAAGGCAGCAGGCGCGCAAAUUACCCAAUCCCGACACGGGGAGGUAGUGACAAUAAAUACUGAUACAGGGCUCUUUCGGGUCUUGUAAUUGGAAUGAGUACAAUUUAAAUCCCUUAACGAGGAACAAUUGGAGGGCAAGUCUGGUGAACAGUUGCUGGUGCCAGAGAGAGCUACCCCUCCCCCCGAAGUAGCUAGUCGAGCGCUCGAUCUGUGACGGGUGAGCGCCGGCGAGACAACCUGGAUCGGGGAAGGCUAAGGGCGGCCAAGCCGCCUAUGCUGAUCCCGAGCAGAGCCCGUGCCCUCCCCGGAGGCGCAGGCCUGCGUAGAGCGCGCCAAGGUGUCGGUCGUGGGGGAAGGGGGCCUUCCGGGAAGGCCCCCCCCCCUCCGGCUUAAGGUACGUGCCAACCCCCCGCGAAAGCGAGGCCCCGCGGAUCAGCACCCGUCGUGCGAAGCCGUGGGGGGCCUGCCCGCCCCUGGGCAGGCCGUCAGACAGUGGCCAGCAGCCGCGGUAAUUCCAGCUCCAAUAGCGUAUAUUAAAGUUGUUGUGGUUAAAAAGCUCGUAGUUGAACCUUGGGCCUGGCUGGCCGGUCCGCCUCACCGCGUGUACUGGUCCGGCCGGGCCUUUCCCUCUGUGGAACCCCAUGCCCUUCACUGGGCGUGGCGGGGAAACAGGACGUUUACUUUGAAAAAAUUAGAGUGCUCCAGGCAGGCCUAUGCUCGAAUACAUUAGCAUGGAAUAAUGAAAUAGGACGCGCGGUUCUAUUUUGUUGGUUUCUAGGACCGCCGUAAUGAUUAAUAGGGACAGUCGGGGGCAUCAGUAUUCAAUUGUCAGAGGUGAAAUUCUUGGAUUUAUUGAAGACUAACUACUGCGAAAGCAUUUGCCAAGGAUGUUUUCAUUAAUCAGGAACGAAAGUUAGGGGAUCGAAGACGAUCAGAUACCGUCGUAGUCUUAACCAUAAACUAUGCCGACUAGGGAUCGGACGAUGUUAUUUUUUGACUCGUUCGGCACCUUACGAGAAAUCAAAGUGCUUGGGCUCCAGGGGGAGUAUGGUCGCAAGGCUGAAA
This 1442-nucleotide ribosomal RNA is filed under the name Perennicordyceps ryogamiensis. RNAcentral's name for it is "SSU rRNA". It matches the Rfam family "Eukaryotic small subunit ribosomal RNA", at positions 39 to 1142 of the family's 1831-position model. Lineage: Eukaryota; Fungi; Ascomycota; Sordariomycetes; Hypocreales; Polycephalomycetaceae. The record is from RNAcentral.